GGUUUGCCACAUCCAUCUUGCGAACGACAGUUGGCAACCCACAAGAUUUCAACAGUCCUCCAGCCACCUAUAAGAUGUGGAACAUCUCCUUCCCCAGGCAAUAGCUCUUCCACUUGGCUUCUGGUACCUCCAGGAUUCCCACCAACCUCCAGCCAUGAAGAUCUUCUGUCUCCUCUCUGUUGCCGUCCUCCUCCUCCUGUUGGCUCCAGAUUUCACCAGAGCCAAAGUUGCUGUUCCAAUAUGUGAACGUAUUGGUGGGAAAUGCAUAAGAUGGUGCGCGAAGCCACUUUUUAAGUGUUCAGAUGUCCUAAUGUGUUGCCGUUAAGGCGAGUAACUCUACAGAUCUACGGUGCAAGACCUCUGGUGAAAGGAAGACCUCCCUGCUCUCCUCUGAUGUGCAGCUGCCUUGACUGCCCCCCCCCAUUUCUGCUGGGGAAGAAACCGCUUUGCUUGAUGCUACUGAAGGCGAUUCUGGGAAGGAGUCAAGAGGGAGCCAUCCUGUCUGCCUGUCUACUCAUGACUCCUGAGAAAGUGGGCUCAGGAUUGGAGCUUGGAUUUGGUUUGUCUGCAAAAGCGCUUUAGCUUUUUCUUUUUAAUAAAUGCAAGCAUUGGAAA
This is a long non-coding RNA of Zootoca vivipara (common lizard), 615 nucleotides long. RefSeq lists it as uncharacterized. The record is from RefSeq and is a predicted model, not a curated record. NCBI's taxonomy places the organism in Eukaryota, Metazoa, Chordata, Lepidosauria, Squamata, Lacertidae.